RNAcentral lists this ribosomal RNA (253 nucleotides) under uncultured bacterium. RNAcentral describes it as "partial 16S ribosomal RNA". It matches the Rfam family "Bacterial small subunit ribosomal RNA", at positions 524 to 776 of the family's 1533-position model. The record is from RNAcentral.
UACGUAGGGUGCGAGCGUUGUCCGGAAUUACUGGGCGUAAAGAGCUUGUAGGUGGUUUGUCGCGUUGUUCGUGAAAUCUCACGGCUCAACUGUGAGCGUGCGGGCGAUACGGGCAGACUAGAGUACUGCAGGGGAGACUGGAAUUCCUGGUGUAGCGGUGGAAUGCGCAGAUAUCAGGAGGAACACCGGUGGCGAAGGCGGGUCUCUGGGCAGUAACUGACGCUGAGGAGCGAAAGCAUGGGGAGCGAACAGG